UACGGAGGGUGCAAGCGUUAUCCGGCUUCACUGGGUUUAAAGGGUGCGUAGGUGGGUUUGUAAGUCCGUGGUGAAAUCUCCGGGCUUAACUCGGAAACUGCCUUGGAUACUAUAAGUCUUGAAUGACGUUGAGGUUAGCGGAAUAUGUCAUGUAGCGGUGAAAUGCUUAGAUAUGACAUAGAACAUCUAUUGCGAAGGCAGCUAACUAAGCGUAUAUUGACGCUGAUGCACGAAAGCGUGGGGAUCAAACAGG
Molecule: ribosomal RNA, 253 nt
Filed under: uncultured bacterium
Lineage: Bacteria
Description: partial 16S ribosomal RNA
Rfam family: Bacterial small subunit ribosomal RNA
Source: RNAcentral